This is a non-coding RNA of Gasterosteus aculeatus aculeatus (three-spined stickleback), 792 nucleotides long. The record is from RefSeq and is a predicted model, not a curated record. NCBI's taxonomy places the organism in Eukaryota, Metazoa, Chordata, Actinopteri, Perciformes, Gasterosteidae.
UGGGCCGACUGUAGAGACGCGACCUGAGCGUUACGUGGGGGGAGAAGCAGCCUCUCCGCCGCGCAGAGGCCGAGUGGCGAUUCUGGCCGGAGGAGGAGCACAUGGCCCGAUCUUCCUCCAGCGGACAGCUGAUCCCAUCCCUCGCCGGGACUCGGCCCUGAUCAAACAGACGCGCGUGUGCACGCCGAGGGAACAGGAGCCCCAUUCAGAUCUUGUGAAACCAGAAGAACCAGAACCAUCGGCACAGCCUCCCGAUCCUUCCAUCCCUCAACCCCUCCUUCCUCCACCCUGCGCUGCCUCCGACAUCACUCUCCACUCUUGUCGGUUCCAAAAAAUAUGAGUCGAGUUGCGUAAUGCCGACUUAAGGUGAAGGUCCUGCCUGCCUCCCGAGGAGUCACCCUGAAGGUUACCCGAGCCCGCGUCAUCAGCCCAUCUGGAAGCUCUGCGAAGACAGCGAACGUACAGUGUGAUGUGAUGUCAUUAUCACCUCUUGAGGUCGACGGUGGUGACAUUGAAGACGACACCUUUGAGCCAGAGGAUCAUAAAGAGGCGCUGAGAGAAGGGACAGUUUCCGAUGCUCUCCCCGUCACUCCCAGCCUGCUCCUCCUUGUCAGACACCGCCGAAGACGAUGACAUCGAAGACGAGGAUCUGCGGGAAAAGUUGUCGCCGUUCGCCUCCGGGGACCCCCUCCCCCAAUUCGGCGUGUGCUGAAGAAGAAGAGGAGGAGGAAGAGGAGGAGGAUGAGGAUGAACUGCUCCGUCUUUCCUCCGCGAGAGGCCGAGGCGGGGGGA